RNAcentral lists this ribosomal RNA (701 nucleotides) under uncultured bacterium. RNAcentral describes it as "bacterial SSU rRNA". It matches the Rfam family "Bacterial small subunit ribosomal RNA", at positions 82 to 817 of the family's 1533-position model. The record is from RNAcentral.
GUAUUCAUGCUUAGUGGCAGACGGGGGAGUAACAUGUAGGUAUCUACCCUUUGGCCUGGAAUAACACGAGGAAACUUGUGCUAAUACCGGAUAAGUCUUUACAGAGAAAGCUUUAUGCACCAUUGGAUGAGCCUGCACUUGAUUAGUUUGUUGGUGGGGUAAUGGCCUACCAAGACUAUGAUCAAUAGCUGAUUUGAGAGGAUGAUCAGCCACAUUGGAACUGAGACACGGUCCAAACUCCUACGGGAGGCAGCAGUAGGGAAUCUUGCACAAUGGAGGAAACUCUGAUGCAGCGAUGCCGCGUGAGUGAAGAAGGCCUUUGGGUUGUAAAGCUCUUUCGUCGGGGAAGAAAAUGACUGUACCCGAAUAAGAAGGUCCGGCUAACUUCGUGCCAGCAGCCGCGGUAAUACGAAGGGACCUAGCGUAGUUCGGAAUUACUGGGCUUAAAGAGUUCGUAGGUGGUUAAAAAAGUUGGUGGUGAAAUCCCAGAGCUUAACUCUGGAACUGCCAUCAAAACUUUUUAGCUAGAGUAUGAUAGAGGAAAGCAGAAUUUCUAGUGUAGAGGUGAAAUUCGUAGAUAUUAGAAAGAAUACCGAUUGCGAAGGCAGCUUUCUGGAUCAUUACUGACACUGAGGAACGAAAGCAUGGGUAGCGAAGAGGAUUAGAUACCCUCGUAGUCCAUGCCGUAAACGAUGUGUGUA